UACGUAGGGGGCAAGCGUUGUCCGGAUUUACUGGGUGUAAAGGGUGCUCAGGUGGAUUUGUUAGUCGGAGGUGAAACUCCGGAGCUUAACUCCGGAACUGCCUCCGAAACAGCAAGUCUUGAGUUUGGUAGAGGAUGAUGGAAUAUCUGGUGUAGCAGUGAAAUGCGCAGAUAUCAGGAGGAACACCGGUGGCGAAGGCGGCACUCUGGGCCAGUACUGACGCUGAGGAGCGAAAGCUAGGGGAGCAAAC
This 250-nucleotide ribosomal RNA is filed under the name uncultured bacterium. RNAcentral's name for it is "partial 16S ribosomal RNA". It matches the Rfam family "Bacterial small subunit ribosomal RNA", at positions 524 to 773 of the family's 1533-position model. The record is from RNAcentral.